GAUGAACGCUGACAGAAUGCUUAACACAUGCAAGUCGAUGGGGAAGUGGUGCUUGCACCAUGGUAACCAUGGCGGACGGGUGAGUAACGCGUAAGGAACUUACCUGCGGGACCGGGAUAACAGCACGAAACUGCUGACAAGACCGGAUAAGGUCAUUAAGCUGCAUAGCUUAGUGAUGAAAGGAGACGCCUGCGGAGAGCCUUGCGUCCUAUUAGCUAGUUGGAGGGGUAACGGCCCACCAAGGCGAAGAUAGGUAGCCGGCCUGAGAGGGUGGACGGCCACAAGGGGACUGAGAUACGGCCCUUACUCCUACGGGAGGCAGCAGUGGGGAAUAUUGGACAAUGGGGGCAACCCUGAUCCAGCAAUUCUGUGUGCACGAAGACGGUUUUCGGAUUGUAAAGUGCUUUCAGCAGGGAAGAAGGAAGUGACGGUACCUGCAGAAGAAGCGACGGCUAAAUACGUG
Molecule: ribosomal RNA, 463 nt
Filed under: uncultured bacterium
Lineage: Bacteria
Description: partial 16S ribosomal RNA
Rfam family: Bacterial small subunit ribosomal RNA
Source: RNAcentral